Molecule: long non-coding RNA, 1123 nt
Filed under: Theobroma cacao (cacao)
Lineage: Eukaryota; Viridiplantae; Streptophyta; Magnoliopsida; Malvales; Malvaceae
Description: long non-coding RNA (TCAC_LNC001403)
Source: RNAcentral
AGGUGGUGAGUCCUCCGAUAAAGGCAACGAAAUUGCAUCCGAGGACCAGUAGACAGAGUGCUUCGAAAGUCUGCAUUCUAGAUAUUGUGAGUAAACUUACUAUCAUUUUAAUUAUCUAGGGUGGUUUUUAGAUUCUUUCAUGAAUUCUAUGGAAAAAUAAAUUUAAAAAGGUAAAUUUUCAUGUUUUAUGAAUAAAUGAGUUUCAAUGAAAUUAAUUUAUAAAUUGUUUUGGAAUUAAUAAUGAUUUUGAAAAAUAGAGUACACGGAGACUAUUAAUUGUGGUAAUUUGAUUGUUUAAAUUGACUGGCUUAUGAUAAAUCGAGCAUGAUUGGCUAGUUGGCAAUUGUAUUGAAAUGCGAAUUGUUUGGUUGCCUUGAAAAACUGCGAAUUACAAAAUUACCAUAUCAUGUUAUUGAGUUUUAUUAUAUGGUGGAUUAUAUAUUAAUUAAUCACUGCAGUAGGGGGUUUCUGUGAACCAACCUUUUAGAGGGGCACGGUAAACCCCAUUAUAUUCUUACCUCGAAUGGAGAGGCGCGUAGGGUAUCUCCUGGGGCAAAGUUUAGGGUUCACUUCACGCUAAACCACCACGUGAGGGGGAACUCAGCCAACGCCAAGGAACAGUUAUGUUUUCAAAACAAAAACAUGAUUUAUGUGAAAUGUGAAUUUUAAUAGCCUUGGCGGUCUCGGUAGGAUGCCUCGGCCAAGGUGUCCCUGAGAAUGGAUUUAUGACAAAAGCCUAGAUUUUUAUGAGAUUCAUAAGCCUCUUUACGUGUUUUGAACAAAAUGUGUUCUAAUGCUAUAACCCAGUUUAUGAUGAUUUACUUUAUUGUCUCCAUGUACUCAACUCUAGAUGUUUAUGAUGAUGUCUGUUUACUCAUUGGGAUUUUAUAAUCUCACCACCCUCAUUUCCACCCAUUUCAGGUUCAAUAUAGACUGUAGAUAGCUGAUCUCAUCGAGGACUACCGUUGGAUCUGUAUUUUUUCAAACCGUAGGUUCACAGUCCUCUUUACUUUUGUUUAUUCAGGGGCCCUCUUGUUAUUGUAAAUUAAAUUAAAUAUUUUGGCUUACUGUAUUUAAGUAUGUAUAAAUUUAUUUAGCUUUUACGCUAUAAAAAUUAUUCACG